RNAcentral lists this ribosomal RNA (324 nucleotides) under uncultured bacterium. RNAcentral's name for it is "bacterial SSU rRNA". It matches the Rfam family "Bacterial small subunit ribosomal RNA", at positions 28 to 334 of the family's 1533-position model. The record is from RNAcentral.
GAUGAACGCUGGCGGCGUGCUUAACACAUGCAAGUCGAACGGAGUGCCUUUGAAAGAGGAUUCGUCCAAUUGAUAAGGUUACUUAGUGGCGGACGGGUGAGUAACGCGUGGGGAACCUGCCUUGGAGUGGGGAAUAACACAGUGAAAAUUGUGCUAAUACCGCAUAAGCGCACGGAACCGCAUGGUUCUGUGUGAAAAACUCCGGUGGUAUAAGAUGGACCCGCGUUGGAUUAGCUUGUUGGUGGGGUAACGGCUCACCAAGGCGACGAUCCAUAGCCGGCCUGAGAGGGUGAACGGCCACAUUGGGACUGAGACACGGCCCAG